Molecule: ribosomal RNA, 449 nt
Filed under: uncultured organism
Description: partial 16S ribosomal RNA
Rfam family: Bacterial small subunit ribosomal RNA
Source: RNAcentral
CACUCCUACGGGAGGCAGCAGUGGGGAAUAUUGGACAAUGGGCGCAAGCCUGAUCCAGCCAUGCCGCGUGAGUGAUGAAGGCCCUAGGGUUGUAAAGCUCUUUCACCGGUGAAGAUAAUGACGGUAACCGGAGAAGAAGCCCCGGCUAACUUCGUGCCAGCAGCCGCGGUAAUACGAAGGGGGCUAGCGUUGUUCGGAUUUACUGGGCGUAAAGCGCACGUAGGCGGACUAUUAAGUCAGGGGUGAAAUCCCGGGGCUCAACCCCGGAACUGCCUUUGAUACUGGUAGUCUUGAGUUCGAGAGAGGUGAGUGGAAUUCCGAGUGUAGAGGUGAAAUUCGUAGAUAUUCGGAGGAACACCAGUGGCGAAGGCGGCUCACUGGCUCGAUACUGACGCUGAGGUGCGAAAGCGUGGGGAGCAAACAGGAUUAGAUACCCUAGUAGUCCCAUG